This 253-nucleotide ribosomal RNA is filed under the name uncultured bacterium. RNAcentral's name for it is "partial 16S ribosomal RNA". It matches the Rfam family "Bacterial small subunit ribosomal RNA", at positions 524 to 776 of the family's 1533-position model. The record is from RNAcentral.
UACGUAGGGUGCAAGCGUUGUCCGGAAUUAUUGGGCGUAAAGAGCUCGUAGGCGGUUCGUCGCGUCGGCUGUGAAAACCCGGAGCUCAACUCCGGGCCUGCAGUCGAUACGGGCGGACUUGAGUGUUGCAGGGGAGACUGGAAUUCCUGGUGUAGCGGUGAAAUGCGCAGAUAUCAGGAGGAACACCGGUGGCGAAGGCAGCUCGCUGGGACGGUACUGACGCUGAGGUGCGAAAGCGUGGGGAGCGAACAGG